GAUGAACGCUGGCGGCGUGCUUAACACAUGCAAGUCGAACGGAACUCUAUGGAACAAGUUUUCGGACAAGGGAAGUAGACGUUUAGUGGCGGACGGGUGAGUAACGCGUGAGGAACCUGCCUUGGAGAGGGGAAUAACGUCUGGAAACGGACGCUAAUACCGCAUGAUGCAAUUAAAUCGCAUGGUUUGAUUGCCAAAGAUUUAUCGCUCUGAGAUGGCCUCGCGUCUGAUUAGCUAGUUGGUAGGGUAACGGCCUACCAAGGCAUCGAUCAGUAGCCGGACUGAGAGGUUGACCGGCCACAUUGGGACUGAGAUACGGCCCAGACUCCUACGGGAGGCAGCAGUGGGGAAUAUUGGGCAAUGGGCGCAAGCCUGACCCAGCAACGCCGCGUGAAGGAAGAAGGCUUUCGGGUUGUAAACUUCUUUUAAGAGGGAAGAUAAUGACGGUACCUCUUGAAUAAGCCACGGCUAACUACGUGCCAGCAGCCGCGGUAAUACGUAGUGGCAAGCGUUAUCCGGAUUUACUGGGUGUAAAGGGCGUGUAGGCGGGAUUGCAAGUCAGAUGUGAAAUUUCGGAGCUCAACUCCGAACGUGCAUUUGAAACUGCGAUUCUUGAGUGAUGGAGAGGCAAGCGGAAUUCCGUGUGUAGCGGUGAAAUCCGUAGAGAUCGGGAGGAACAUCAGUGGCGAAGGCGGCUAUCUGGCACUAUACUGACGCUGAGGUGCGAAAGCGUGGGUAUCAAACAGGAUUAGAUACCCUGGUAGUCCACGCUGUAAACGAUGGAUACUAGGUGCCGGGGGCUCGACUCUCGGUGCCGUAGCUAACGCGUUAAGUAUCCCGCCUGGGGAGUACGGUCGCAAGGCUGAAACUCAAAGAAAUUGACGGGGGCCCGCACAAGCGGUGGAGUAUGUGGUUUAAUUCGAUGCAACGCGAAGAACCUUACCUAGGCUUGACAUCCGGGGAACUCUCCCGAAAAGGAGAGGUGCACUUCGGUGAACCCCGAGACAGGUGCUGCAUGGCUGUCGUCAGCUCGUGCCGUGAGGUGUUUGGUUAAGUCCAGCAACGAGCGCAACCCCUGUCAUUAGUUGCCAACAGGUAAAGCUGUGCACUCUAAUGAUACUGCUGUGGUCAACACAGAGGAAGGUGGGGACGACGUCAAGUCAUCAUGGCCCUUACGCCUAGGGCUACACACGUACUACAAUGGCGCGCACAAAGGGCAGCGAGACCGCGAGGUGGAGCCAAUCCCAAAAAACGCGUCCCAGUCCGGAUUGCAGUCUGCAACUCGACUGCAUGAAGUCGGAAUCGCUAGUAAUUCUGGAUCAGCAUGCCAGGGUGAAUGCGUUCCCGGGCCUUGUACACACCGCCCGUCACACCACGAAAGUUGGUUUUACCCGACACCUGUGAGCUAACCGCAAGGAGGCAGCAGUCUACGGUAGGGCCGAUGAUUGGGGUG
RNAcentral lists this ribosomal RNA (1453 nucleotides) under uncultured Pseudomonadota bacterium. RNAcentral describes it as "bacterial SSU rRNA". It matches the Rfam family "Bacterial small subunit ribosomal RNA". Lineage: Bacteria; Pseudomonadati; Pseudomonadota. The record is from RNAcentral.